CCUACGGGAGGCAGCAGUAGGGAAUCUUCCGCAAUGGACGAAAGUCUGACGGAGCAACGCCGCGUGAGUGAUGAAGGUUUUCGGAUCGUAAAACUCUGUUGUUAGGGAAGAACAAGUACCGUUCGAAUAGGGCGGYACCUUGACGGUACCUAACCAGAAAGCCACGGCUAACUACGUGCCAGCAGCCGCGGUAAUACGUAGGUGGCAAGCGUUGUCCGGAAUUAUUGGGCGUAAAGCGCGCGCAGGCGGUUUCUUAAGUCUGAUGUGAAAGCCCCCGGCUCAACCGGGGAGGGUCAUUGGAAACUGGGGAACUUGAGUGCAGAAGAGGAGAGUGGAAUUCCACGUGUAGCGGUGAAAUGCGUAGAGAUGUGGAGGAACACCAGUGGCGAAGGCGACUCUCUGGUCUGUAACUGACGCUGAGGCGCGAAAGCGUGGGGAGCGAACAGGAUUAGAUACCCUGGUAGUCCACGCCGUAAACGAUGAGUGCUAAGUGUUAGAGGGUUUCCGCCCUUUAGUGCUGCAGCAAACGCAUUAAGCACUCCGCCUGGGGAGUACGGUCGCAAGACUGAAACUCAAAGGAAUUGACGG
This 588-nucleotide ribosomal RNA is filed under the name Bacillus sp. 1BL. Its description in RNAcentral is "bacterial SSU rRNA". It matches the Rfam family "Bacterial small subunit ribosomal RNA", at positions 338 to 916 of the family's 1533-position model. Lineage: Bacteria; Bacillati; Bacillota; Bacilli; Caryophanales; Bacillaceae. The record is from RNAcentral.